GCGGUGCCAACCGAGGCUGUGCGCCCGCCCCGGACAUUGCAGGACGCAGGACCCCCUCCUUCAGAGGUCCUCAGCAAAGCACCCCCACAUAGAUCAAUUCAUUCAUUCAACAAAUGAAUAUUUGAGGGAAGAGGCUCCAGAUGGAGGGAAGAGCCAGUGCAAUGCCUCAAAAUGGAGAUAUGGUGUAUUAAUGGAGAAGCAGCAGGACUUGUGAAGCCUGGGACGAGGGCUUGGGGUCUUAUUCUCAAUAUGAUAGAAAAUGAUUCAAGGCUGAGAACAGGAGAGUGGCAGGAUAUACUGACAUAUUUAAAUCUCACUGUCUCCCACAAAGAACAAGUUUUAUCUCUCCUCAUGCUCCUGAGAGAAGAAUGUACUACUUACCUGCCAUCAUUCUGCAUCCAUCAAAACAUCUGGGUUUACCUGAAAAAAAAAUUAUA
RNAcentral lists this small RNA (437 nucleotides) under Pongo abelii (Sumatran orangutan). RNAcentral describes it as "processed transcript". Lineage: Eukaryota; Metazoa; Chordata; Mammalia; Primates; Hominidae. The record is from RNAcentral.